Lemur catta (Ring-tailed lemur) is the source of this 374-nucleotide long non-coding RNA. RefSeq lists it as uncharacterized. The transcript has 4 exons. Lineage: Eukaryota; Metazoa; Chordata; Mammalia; Primates; Lemuridae. The record is from RefSeq and is a predicted model, not a curated record.
GCUUAUAAUUUAAUAGGGAAAGAAUAACAUGUACAUUAAUAAUUAUAAGAUAUAUAUUUGUACAGGAUGAAGUGAACGUAUCCUAGUAGGGUUAUAAAUAAAAUGGUGUGAGAGUUCCAAUGAAAAAGAAAUUACUUUGGAGUAAGAAGAUCAGGAAAGAAUGUAUAGAAAAUACGGGCCUCAAAGGAGGUCAGCAAGAUCAAGGGGCCUGGUGGAACCAAACUCUUUCUCACAAAUGCUAAUGGCACUGUUUGGAACUUUAUCAUCUAGAUUACAAAAAGCACCUUGUUGUGGACUAAGAACCAUAGCUUUUCAGAGUAAAUCUGCAGAUGGAAGCUGAUUAACAAGAUAAGAAGAGCCUAGGCUGACCUGAU